UCGCAGGCUGCAACUCGCCUGCGUGAAGUCGGAAUUGCUAGUAAUCGCGGAUCAGCAUGCCGCGGUGAAUACGUUCCCGGGCCUUGUACACACCGCCCGUCACACCAUGAGAGCUGGGAACACCCGAAGCCCGUAGCCUAACCUGCAAAGGAGGGCGCGGUCGAAGGUGGGCUUAGUAAUUGGGGUGAAGUCGUAACAAGGUAAC
Molecule: ribosomal RNA, 205 nt
Filed under: uncultured bacterium
Lineage: Bacteria
Description: partial 16S ribosomal RNA
Rfam family: Bacterial small subunit ribosomal RNA
Source: RNAcentral